Long non-coding RNA from Drosophila arizonae, 3351 nucleotides. The record is from RefSeq and is a predicted model, not a curated record. NCBI's taxonomy places the organism in Eukaryota, Metazoa, Arthropoda, Insecta, Diptera, Drosophilidae.
AAGUUCAUGUUAAGCCUUAAAUUAUCUCUUAGCGAGCGUUAAGCAUAUGCAGGGAGAGUGAGGCUCAGAGAGAGGGAGAGAGAGAGUGAGGGAGAGAGAGAGCGAGAGAGUUUAUCUUACCAGUUACCUGGUAAAGUGCACGGCUUUAACUUGAAGCAUUCUUCCGUGAAUUUGUAGGGCUUUUUCUGGCCAAUCUAAUAGCUCAGCUCCAACCAAUUGUUAGCAUUGCCAUAUAUGUACAACAUUUAUCCGAUGGCCUGAGCUUCCUGGUAAACGAUGGCUGACUAAUAAGCAGUUGAGCAAAUGCAAUUAACUUGGGCAACAUGCUAAAUUAUUAUAAAGAAACAACAGAGAAAACUUAAUAAUCGAAUUGGCAACUCGAACAGAAAUGUGAGACAAAACGCGCCCAAAAUAGGUAAACACUUGGCUACAACUUGGCUAAAUAUGUGCCUGCCAUAAUCUGAGUGAGAUCUGGGCAGAUCGGCCGCUCGGCCGCUCGGCCGCCGUGCGGUUAGGAAUGGGGGAGUGGGAGAUAAUCGUGCCAAUUGCCGGGUCUCGUCUAUUUGGCUAUUUGUCCAGUUUUGGGCACAGAUCGCUGAGGCAAAAGCAAAAGCAAAAGCAAAAGCAUUUCAAUGCUUGCCAAGUCAAAUACGAGCAUAUGUAAAUAUUAAUUUUAUUAAACAAACGUGACGCGAACUCUUUUUUAAACGUUGACACGACAAUUGCAACCCACACACACACACACACAGACACACAUUAACACAAACACACACGCUACUUAGAUUAAACAGUGCGCGCUUUUCAUAUUUGGCUUUUCAAUUCACAAUAUUUAUGCCAUGCAAAACUGUUGUUUAUUGUAACUGUUAUAGGCGACACACACACAUAUACGCAUACACGCAGAGUCAGUGUGACAUCGUACCGGCCUAUGGCUACGUGCAGUCCAUCAAUGAGACGCAUCCAAAUGCGUGGGAAACGGCGCCGGCCUUGCUUUGAAGUUUAGCUUGAAAGGCGAUUUUGUUUUUGCGGAAUUUCAAAGGCAACAGCAACUGUGCACACUCAUCGCACACACACACACACACACACACACAGGCGCACUCACAUAAAUUGCACGGAUGCGGGCUAGUGAAAGCUGCUGACAAGUGUGACCCUGCCUAGCGCAUUGCGCAUUUGACGUUCGUAUGCACGCUCACGCACUCACGCACGCAAGCGCACGACCGAUGUAUGCAUGUAUGUAUGUGCAUGCAGUGUGACCCUGCUAUGUGCAAGCAAUUAAAACCAAAACAAAUCGGAAAACGAACAAUCAAAACAAAAGCGCGCUAGAACGUUCGCGGCAAAUAAGGCUAAAUAACAUAAUUAUAGCAAUUAAUGAAGCCGUAUAUACAUACAUACAUACAUAUAUAAAUAUAUAUGUACAUGCGCAUGUGUGAUUAACUAAUAUAUCUAAUAAUAAUUGGUGUGUUGCAAUAUCUGUGAAAUUCUUAGUUGUCAAUGCCAAAUGUAACAGACGAAAGCCAAUAUACAGUGCGCCAAUUAAGUCUUCGUACAGCAACAAUUCGUUUCUUGGGGAGCCCAUAAAGCGGAUACAUACAUAGAUCCAAGUCAACAUGCCCGUUUACCCAUGGAUCUAUGUACAUACAUAUGUCAAUAUACCCGCUUACACAUGGCGCACAGUGUAUUCUGAAUCAUCGGCAACAACAAUUGGCGCAUUUCGUAGGCGACGCUCAACGACUUUUGGACUUCCUUUUUUGUGGGGCGGCCGCCACAUGAUUGUCGCCAUUGAGACUGCACGACAACGGCAACGGCAACGUGACGCAUGAGCAUGGGGCAGCAAUAAAGGCGGCAACAACAACAACAACAAAAGUAGCAGCAGCAGCAACAGCAGCAACAAUAACAACUGCAACUGCAUCACGCUGACAGCUAGUUGUAGGGGGUGACGCUCUUUAACCUUUAGAAAUCGCCUCCACUCCACUCCACCCCAUCCACCACCUCUCCCAGAGGCAUUGCGCCUUUGCAUUGGUUUUGGUCUAUUUUGGACUCGGCGACAAAUAUAGAGCGCAAUCCCUAAGACGAAUGACCGUUAAUGGAGACAUUUGUGUGGCUGCCAUGCCAGAGUGGAGGGGGGUUGAGGCUUCAGCUAUUUAUAGCUCCCACACACUCACACACAUACGUGCAGCUAGCGACGAUCUUGAUCUUAGGCAGCGGCACAUGCCACAAGCAGCGAUUCCGCUCUAUAACAAUGGCCCACAGUGAACAAUGGCUAAAACGAAUAAAAAACAACAACAACAACAACAGCAACAACAACAAAACGCCAAAACAAAAGCGAAUUUUCAGUGGCACAGAGGCGGCCACUUACAAGAACUUUAACACGCCAGAGUUCAAAUUAGUCAGCAGACACUCCAUAAAUCAGACAACGGAAAACAAUCAUAAAGAGCCGCUGCUGCUGCUCUCUGGACCUGAGUGGACCAAUAGCCAGGCAGGCAGCCAGCCAGGCAGCCAGGCAGCCAGCUGGCUUCAGCAACUGGACAAGCGGGUUGCGUUUGGCCGCCCGCUGCUUGAGAGUGCUCUGGGUCGAGGCAUUAGCAUACAAUUUGUGUGGCAACUUGUUGUUGUCGUGCCAUUGACAGCAAUAAAUAAUAAAAUUGCAUUGCAAUGCACUUUGCCAGGCGGAUAAAUUGCCAGCCACUAAAUCGCCAAAGCAAUGAAUCAGACUAACUUCGGCUGUGGAUAGGAUCGAUGGGAAGAAAAGCAAAUAUAAGAAUGAGACGAAGACUCUUUGAGCGUUUUUCCCAUUUACUUUGCAAUGAUGAUUGCCAAGCGGAUUUAUUUUGCAAUCAACUGUGAUGUUUGCCAGGCAGAUAAAUGCCUAAGAAGAUGCAGCGAACAAAAAGAAGAAGGGUAGAAUGGCAGAAUGAUAGUUCCUCAAUUACUUGACUUCGCAUUUUACUUAUUUACAACUUCAGAGUCGACUAUAUUCCAGAAUCACUUUGCAAGGCACUUUGUCAGGCGGAUAAAAGGCGGCUAUGGUAAGCAAUGUAAGAUACGAAAUUUGGUCACACGUCUCAUGUAACUUACGUAGCAUACGCGAGUCUUGUAAGCCAUGUUUAUAGGGUGGCAUGGACAUAAGAAAUAAUACGAAAUAAAUAAAAAAUAGUUGCCAUGCUUUAGCGACUGUUUGCUGCUGUUGCUCAGUGUCGUACAAAUUGCACCGUUAAUAAAGUCAAAAUCGGAUUGGACAUGCCUCGGCCGACGCCUGGCCCCAACUGGAGUCCAAGUGGAGCUCAGCUGCGCGCCCGUUGCGAAGCAGUUGGUCCAUUCCGUGCACAGAUGCAGUUGGAUAUUUGAUCUGUUGAC